GCUCUCUUUUCGGGAAGCUGGGACACCGCAGGCGGAAGGAGCCAACUCUACUGUGUUUCCCAAGCCUGGUGAAGGGGCCUCUCUCUGGAGGGUUGCAGCUGAUGAGGGACAGGAACAGCUUUCCCGCUCUUCCACCUGCCUCAGGCGUUAAUGAGGGGGCAUCUUUCCCUGACUCAUGCCACCACAUGACAGAUGAGUAAUGGGGACAGCUCUGCCAUGCUAACAACUUCCAGCAUGGCUCAUCCACACCUCCACCAACAGGAUCAGCUCUAUUAUACUGCCCAGGUGAAAGCGUGAGAGAAACCCACAGAAGGCAGUGAUUCCGGAGUUCCUGAGUUCAGAGGGUUUAUUCAGUGAAUUUUGCUUACCCUUUGUGUCCAGGUAUAAUCAAUUGAGUUCCAGCACUGCCACCAAGAAUGCCAGGAAGAUUUUCCUUUAGAGACCUCAACUCAAUAAAGCCAAGCUUUUCAGAUGCUACAGGUAGAAAUAAUUCUGGACAACUUGGAAUGAAGCUAAGUUAAGAAAUUUCUUGUUAUUUUGUUAGAGACACAUAAAAAAUG
Molecule: non-coding RNA, 560 nt
Organism: Peromyscus maniculatus bairdii (prairie deer mouse)
Lineage: Eukaryota; Metazoa; Chordata; Mammalia; Rodentia; Cricetidae
Source: RefSeq, a predicted model, not a curated record